UUCGGGGUGGAUUAGUGGCGAACGGGUGAGUAACACGUGGGCAAUCUGCCCUGCACUCUGGGACAAGCCCUGGAAACGGGGUCUAAUACCGGAUAACACCCCCUCUCGCAUGGGAGGGGGUUGAAAGCUCCGGCGGUGCAGGAUGAGCCCGCGGCCUAUCAGCUUGUUGGUGAGGUAGAAGCUCACCAAGGCGACGACGGGUAGCCGGCCUGAGAGGGCGACCGGCCACACUGGGACUGAGACACGGCCCAGACUCCUACGGGAGGCAGCAGUGGGGAAUAUUGCACAAUGGGCGAAAGCCUGAUGCAGCGACGCCGCGUGAGGGAUGACGGCCUUCGGGUUGUAAACCUCUUUCAGCAGGGAAGAAGCGAAAGUGACGGUACCUGCAGAAGAAGCGCCGGCUAACUACGUGCCAGCAGCCGCGGUAAUACGUAGGGCGCAAGCGUUGUCCGGAAUUAUUGGGCGUAAAGAGCUCGUAGGCGGCUUGUCACGUCGGUUGUGAAAGCCCGGGGCUUAACCCCGGGUCUGCAGUCGAUACGGGCAGGCUAGAGUGUGGUAGGGGAGAUCGGAAUUCCUGGUGUAGCGGUGAAAUGCGCAGAUAUCAGGAGGAACACCGGUGGCGAAGGCGGAUCUCUGGGCCAUUACUGACGCUGAGGAGCGAAAGCGUGGGGAGCGAACAGGAUUAGAUACCCUGGUAGUCCACGCCGUAAACGGUGGGAACUAGGUGUUGGCGACAUUCCACGUCGUCGGUGCCGCAGCUAACGCAUUAAGU
RNAcentral lists this ribosomal RNA (772 nucleotides) under Streptomyces sp. RNAcentral describes it as "bacterial SSU rRNA". It matches the Rfam family "Bacterial small subunit ribosomal RNA", at positions 81 to 865 of the family's 1533-position model. Lineage: Bacteria; Bacillati; Actinomycetota; Actinomycetes; Kitasatosporales; Streptomycetaceae. The record is from RNAcentral.